RNAcentral lists this ribosomal RNA (348 nucleotides) under Triticum aestivum (bread wheat). RNAcentral describes it as "partial small subunit ribosomal RNA". The record is from RNAcentral. Lineage: Eukaryota; Viridiplantae; Streptophyta; Magnoliopsida; Poales; Poaceae.
AUGGCUAUUUUUGAUACGAUGCAAACGGUGACACCAGAUAUAUAUACAAUAUGCCUCGGAAUAGCCGCCUCCAUGGCGUCCUUCAUUCUGCUUGGAGGAGAACCCACCAAGCGUAUAGCAUUCCCUCACGCGAGGAUUAUGCUUCACCAACCUGCUAGUGCUUAUUAUCGGGCAAGGACACCAGAAUUUUUACUAGAAGUAGAAGAGUUACACAAAGUUCGCAAAAUGAUCACAAGGGUUUAUGCAGUAAGAACAGGCAAGCCUUUUUGGUUGUAUCCGAAGACAUGGAAAGGGAUGUUUUUAUGUCAGCAGAAGAAGCCAAAGCUUAUGGACUUGUCGAUAUUGUAG